RNAcentral lists this ribosomal RNA (214 nucleotides) under uncultured bacterium. RNAcentral describes it as "partial 16S ribosomal RNA". It matches the Rfam family "Bacterial small subunit ribosomal RNA", at positions 1292 to 1500 of the family's 1533-position model. The record is from RNAcentral.
UUCGGACUGCAGCCUGCAACCCGGCUGCACGAAGCUGGAAUCGCUAGUAAUCGCGGAUCAGCAUGCCGCGGUGAAUACGUUCCCGGGUCUUGUACACACCGCCCGUCACACCAUGGGAGCCGGAAAUGCCCGAAGCCUGUGACCCAACCCUUAAGGGAGGGGAGCAGCCUAAGGCGGGGGCCGGUAACUGGGGGUGAAGUCGUAACAAGGUAAC